GACAAACAGAGCACAGCUUUAGCCUGGGAGCGAGCGUGGCUCGCAGUGCCCAUUGUUGCUCUAUCCAGAGAAUGAUUCACCCUCCCCAGGGCUGUGCCUUGCCUCCGCACGUUUCGCAAGGCUCUGCCUUUAUAACAGCGUGGUGCUGCACGCAGCGACUCCUGGCAGAUUGCUGGGCUGCCUGCAGAGCGGGGAGGCAGCAGCUAAUCCUCCUAAGGAUGAUUUUCCUCUUGCAGUAUUUCUUCCUGCUGGCCACAGACCUAGUGCUGGCCAUGACCCUUUCCUGCCUCUUUUAUGCCUUCGCAUGCGUGUCCAUCGCGCUGCUGACCUGCUGCGUUAUCGUCGUCUCCUUCGGCACCGCGGAGAGGAGCGCCCACGUGAAAGGGAGAGCAAUUGUAAUUCUUGUGUCCAACAGCUCCAUUGGGAGGAUGUUUGCGAGGAACCUGGACAGAGCAGGAUUCGGGGUGUCUGCUGCACACUGGUCUGCUCCAGAGGAGAGGACAGUGACAGAAGAGUGCUCGUUGAACAAGGAGGUAGCCCAGCUGCACCUGACUGAAGAUGAGUAUCAGAAGACAGUGAAAACCUUCAUAGAAAGCCACUUAUCCCUGAAAGGCAUGUACGGGAAGAUGAGGAAGCCGUGCAUCCUGCUCUGGGAUGAAGGGGCUCCGGACACGCGCGGGGUGCCUGACACAGAACCCUCCUGGGAGGGCAGGAAGGCUCCCAAGGCUGCCCGCAGGAACUGCUUACUGCAGACAGCCCUCUGCAUCUCAGUCCUCUGUCACCCACUGACCUGUGCCCUGACGCUCCUGAAGAGGGGCCCACAGCUGCUGGUGCCUCUGCUCAAGUCCAAAAACUGACAGCCAGCAAGGAAACCCACGGAGCACUACACACUGCCACUGUCACACCACAUGGAAAAAGGAGCAGAGCUGGGAUCAGAAGUGACAAACUCCUUGCAGCACGGGAUUGUGAGCAGUGACUUCAAUCGCAAGCCAACAAAAAACCGUGGAUGAAGACAGAAAACACCUUCAGAACCAUGACCCAGGUCAUGGUUCUCCCAACUCCCUUGCAAGUCUAAUCUGUAAGGAAGAGAACCCCAAGACGCUGAAAUUUUGGGUUGUUCUUUACAAUGCCAUACUGUGCACACAGAGGAAAAAUCAUCUGAGGUGCAAGGAAAUAAAGGAAGAAUUCUGCUGGGAAGCA
Molecule: long non-coding RNA, 1200 nt
Filed under: Serinus canaria (Common canary)
Lineage: Eukaryota; Metazoa; Chordata; Aves; Passeriformes; Fringillidae
Description: lncRNA (ENSSCAG00000012706.1)
Source: RNAcentral